UACGACGUAUCAGUAGUUUGACUCCUGGCUCAGGACGAACGCUGGCGGCGUGCUUAACACAUGCAAGUCGAACGGAAAGGCCCUGCUUUUGUGGGGUGCUCGAGUGGCGAACGGGUGAGUAACGCGUGAGUAACCUGCCCUUGACUUUGGGAUAACUUCAGGAAACUGGGGCUAAUACCGGAUAGGAGCUCCUGCUGCAUGGUGGGGGUUGGAAAGUUUCGGCGGUUGGGGAUGGACUCGCGGCUUAUCAGCUUGUUGGUGGGGUAGUGGCUUACCAAGGCUUUGACGGGUAGCCGGCCUGAGAGGGUGACCGGCCACAUUGGGACUGAGAUACGGCCCAG
This 341-nucleotide ribosomal RNA is filed under the name uncultured bacterium. RNAcentral describes it as "bacterial SSU rRNA". It matches the Rfam family "Bacterial small subunit ribosomal RNA", at positions 1 to 334 of the family's 1533-position model. The record is from RNAcentral.